This 859-nucleotide ribosomal RNA is filed under the name uncultured bacterium. Its description in RNAcentral is "bacterial SSU rRNA". It matches the Rfam family "Bacterial small subunit ribosomal RNA", at positions 56 to 936 of the family's 1533-position model. The record is from RNAcentral.
UGUAAGUCGAGCGAUUCAUUAGCAAUAAUGAAGAGCGGCGGAAGGGUGAGUAACACGUAGGAGACCUGCCUCAUCGCAGGGAACAACUUCGCGAAAGCGGAGCUAAUACCCAAAAAGCUCGGUGCUUCGGUGUGCCGAGAAGAGUGUGCAAGCGCGUGAUGAGAGGGUCCUGCGGCCCAUCAGCUAGUUGGCAGGGUAGUGGCCUACCAAGGCAACGACGGGUAGGGGGUCUGAGAGGACGAUCCCCCACACUGGAACUGAAACACGGUCCAGACGCCUACGGGUGGCAGCAGGGAGGAAUAUUGGGCAAUGGACGAAAGUCUGACCCAGCAACGCCGCGUGAAGGAUGAAGGCCUUCGGGUUGUAAACUUCUUUUGAGGGAGAAGAGAAAGGACGGUAUCCCUCGAAUAAGCCACGGCUAACUACGUGCCAGCAGCCGCGGUAAAACGUAGGUGGCGAGCGUUAUCCGGAUUCAUUGGGCGUAAAGAGCUUGUAGGUGGCUGGAUAAGUUGGACGUGAAAACUCCGGGCUUAACUUGGAGAGGCCGUUCAAUACUGUCCGGCUAGAGGAUGUCAGAGGGAAGUGGAAUUCCUAGUGUAGCAGUGAAAUGCGUAGAUAUUAGGAGGAACACCCGUGGCGAAGGCGGCUUCCUGGGGCACACCUGACACUGAGAAGCGAAAGCUAGGGGAGCAAACGGGAUUAGAAACCCCGGUAGUCCUAGCUGUAAACGAUGGAUGCUAGGUGUAAGCAGAUCUAACCCUGCUUGUGCCGAAGCUAACGCGUUAAGCAUCCCGCCUGGGAACUACGAGCGCAAGCUUAAAACUCAAAGGAAUUGACGGGGACCCGCACAAGCAGCGGA